RNAcentral lists this unclassified non-coding RNA (1402 nucleotides) under Leishmania donovani. Its description in RNAcentral is "gene:LdHU3.22.2060(CDS-product:exosome_complex_ex onuclease_RRP45_homolog_putative)". The record is from RNAcentral. Lineage: Eukaryota; Euglenozoa; Kinetoplastea; Trypanosomatida; Trypanosomatidae.
GGUACACACACACACAAACACACACGCACGCGCAGUAUACACGCGGACACACACGCACCUCACUCACAACCCGACCAUUCGCAGCCGCUACUAUGCUUUACCGCACGGCAGUGCCAGUGCCGGCUGACGCGCUUGUGCAGCGCAAUCUGGAGUUCACGCGGACCGCGUGGAAGGCAGGCCUCCGUCCCGAUCAACGAGAGGCGAAUCAGCUGCGGGUGGUGGAGAUGGACUUCCCGCUGCUCUCCCGUGACGUGGUGCAGGUGAAGUGCGGCAACACCGUCGCCACGGCCACUGUCAGCUGCGACCUUGUAGAGCCCUCCCCGUACCGUCCAAAGCACGGCUUCUUCGAGGUGCAUGCCCGCCAGCUGCUGCACGAACGCGACCCUCUCGACCAGUUUAAGGAGAUUAAGCGCAUCAGCAUGUACCUGACGCGACUGCUCUCCAGCAGUGUGCUGGAGACGGAGGGCCUUUGCGUCAUCCCAGGCCGCCGCGUGUGGAGCAUCGAUGCAGAGGUGAUCAUUGUUAACAAUGAUGGCAACGUGCAAGAUGUGGCGCAGUGGGCUGUGAUGGCCGCCCUGCAGCACGUACGCAGACCCGAGCUCACCAUUCGUGGCGAAGACGUGAUUGUACACCCCCCGCAUGAGCGGGACCCGGUGCCGCUGCCGCUUCAUCACACCCCCCUCUCCUUCACGUUUGCUGUUUGCGCCAAUCCGCAGGAGGUGCAGCUGGCGGUGCGCGCGGCCACGCUGCGCCGUGCACAGGCACCUCGAGCCGGUGCCUCUUCCGGCGCCAACGCGGAUGAGGGCGACGGUGAAGCGAAAGAUCUCGGCUGGUCGAGUAACGCACUGCAGGUCGUGGUGGAUCCGUCGUUAGAGGAGGCUGCCGCUGCCGCGUGCACGGUGUCGGUGGCCGUGAACGGUGAGGGCCACGUGUGCUCGCUGGAGAAAGCGGAUGGCUGCGAUGUGUCAAUCGCGUACCUGGAGCAAUGCAUGAAGGCUGCCACGAAGCUCACGCAGGCGCUGCUGACGCAGAUGAAGGAGUCGAUGGAGGCGCACAAUGCGAAGCGCAAGGAGGCGGUGCGCAGCCAGUUUCUCUGGGCGCAGCAGCGUCACGGCAUCCAGGCUAUCGCGACCCCGGGGGACGAGGGGGAGCACGCAAGCAAGAAAGCCAAGACAGAGGAAUGAGCGUGAGCGAGGGGCGGUGCACCACUCUCGCUAUCGACCCACUCAGCCACGUACGCGGGCGACCUAUGUGCGCCGGCAGAAAGAGGUGGUGUGUAUGUGUGUAGGUGAGACGGCGGUGACACGCCCCUGUCCCUCUCACUGUUCCCCUCCUCGGCGCCUCACCGCUUAUUCUACUUUUCGUCCAGUGUUACGCUAAACGGGUAAGCGCAACGUGUGCC